AUACGUAGGGUGCAAGCGUUAAUCGGAAUUACUGGGCGUAAAGCGUGCGCAGGCGGUUUUGUAAGACAGAGGUGAAAUCCCCGGGCUCAACCUGGGAACUGCCUUUGUGACUGCAAGGCUAGAGUACGGCAGAGGGGGAUGGAGUUCCGCGUGUAGCAGUGAAAUGCGUAGAUAUGCGGAGGAACACCGAUGGCGAAGGCAAUCCCCUGGGCCUGUACUGACGCUCAUGCACGAAAGCGUGGGGAGCAAACAGGAUUAGAUACCCUGGUAGUCCACGCCCUAAACGAUGUCAACUGGUUGUUGGGUCUUAACUGACUCAGUAACGAAGCUAACGCGUGAAGUUGACCGCCUGGGGAGUACGGCCGCAAGGUUGAAACUCAAAUGAAUUGACGGGG
RNAcentral lists this ribosomal RNA (395 nucleotides) under uncultured bacterium. Its description in RNAcentral is "partial 16S ribosomal RNA". It matches the Rfam family "Bacterial small subunit ribosomal RNA", at positions 523 to 918 of the family's 1533-position model. The record is from RNAcentral.